This is a long non-coding RNA of Labrus mixtus (cuckoo wrasse), 937 nucleotides long. RefSeq lists it as uncharacterized. The transcript is spliced from 2 exons. The record is from RefSeq and is a predicted model, not a curated record. Lineage: Eukaryota; Metazoa; Chordata; Actinopteri; Labriformes; Labridae.
CACCAUGCGACCUUUGGGUGUCGAAAGAAAGCAUGUAGCUUCCUAAAAAGAUGCAGCAACUUCGCUUGUAAUGAGAGGCACACCGCGCAGGCGUGGCUUUGUGUGUGAACUUCUUUUUUUCUCCCCGAUGAGCUAGUCGACGCACCUGCGCAUGCGUGAGAAAACCCCUGGUUGAAUGAAGGUGCUUUGACAUCUGAGAAGCUUUGACUCACGGGAGGAUCCCAUCCGUACUUGUUGGGUAAGGCAAGUUUUGGUCUCCCGACGGACAGAAAGUGCUCUCAGGCCCCUUUUGCUGCUUCCAGGGAGACUCACUGACCUGUGAGGUUGUUGAAUCCAGCAGAUCCAUGGUGGGGAUUAGACAGCUGGCCUCUCCCAGGAAACACAUCAGGAUUUGGAGCACGUCAGCCCAGCGUCCAACAGUCAGCAUCAGGACCAUCAAUCCACCGAGUCGCACCACCACUGUGUUCAGGACAGCCUGGCUGCCGGGUAAACGGUUCUUCUCCUCUGCAGGAACAAAAAUGCAACAUUUAUGAAAAUGUUUCCAAUUUAUGACAGGUCAAUAGAGGUGUCAAAUCAUCAGGAUGCUCAAAUGAAUGAUGAAUGACUUGGUGGUCAGACGAGACCAGACGAGGCUUCAAACUGAUGAAUUAGUUAUUUUCCUCAGGCUGGAGAGAUGUCUACAAUAUCACACGUUUGAUUGAUUAGAGUCUAAUGAGCAUUGCAGCAUCUUUGAAAUGAAAGAUGGUAUCACUUAGAGAUGUUAUAAACCGAUACCAGUUCAAUAAAUACCUCCUAUGUCAUCGAAAUAGCAUCUGGUAUCAGCAUGCAGGUCUACUAGCCCUGAAAGAGAAUCAAGUUUAUUCACGUAGCCUAUAAAGGCCUACUUUAUUAUGUAUUUUAAUGCAUGUCAAGAGCACAUCAAAAUUAAAAAAGUAAA